GACGAACGCUGGCGGCGUGCUUAACACAUGCAAGUCGAACGGAAAGGCCCUGCUUUUGUGGGGGGCUCGAGCGGCGAAAGGGUGAGUAACACGUCAGUAACCUGCCCUUGACUUUGGGAUAACUUCAGGAAACUGGGGCUAAUACCGGAAAGGAGCUCCUGCUGCAUGGUGGGGGUUGGAAAGUUUCGGCGGUUGGGGAUGGACUCGCGGCUUAUCAGCUUGUUGGUGGGGUAGUGGAUUACCAAGGCUUUGACGGGUAGCCGGCCUGAGAGGGUGACCGGCCACAUUGGGACUGAGAUACGGCCCAGACUCCUUCGGGAGGCAGCAGUGGGGGAUAUUGGACGAUGGGCGGCAGCCGGAUGCAGCAACUCCGCGUGCUAGAUGACGGCCUUCGGGUUGUAACCCGCUUUCGCCUGUGACGAAGCGUGAGUGACGGUAAUGGGUAAAGAAGCACCGGCUAACUACGUG
This 468-nucleotide ribosomal RNA is filed under the name uncultured bacterium. Its description in RNAcentral is "partial 16S ribosomal RNA". It matches the Rfam family "Bacterial small subunit ribosomal RNA", at positions 28 to 507 of the family's 1533-position model. The record is from RNAcentral.